GUGCUCGAUUUGGCAGUAUGUAUCCCAAGUUAGAACAAUACAGAGAUUAGCUUGGCCUGUGUGCAAAGAUGACACGCACAUUCAGAAAGCAUUCCAUAUUUAG
This is a small nuclear RNA of Arvicola amphibius (Eurasian water vole), 103 nucleotides long. The record is from RefSeq and is a predicted model, not a curated record. NCBI's taxonomy places the organism in Eukaryota, Metazoa, Chordata, Mammalia, Rodentia, Cricetidae.